Molecule: long non-coding RNA, 1959 nt
Organism: Papio anubis (olive baboon)
Lineage: Eukaryota; Metazoa; Chordata; Mammalia; Primates; Cercopithecidae
Source: Ensembl
GCUACACAGGCUGAAAAACCACUAGCAAUUUCAGCAAGGUCUCUUGGAAAUAAUUUUUAAUAAAGUCCAAUCAAUUCACCAAAAGGUUACCAUACAACAUGUUAGGUGCCAAGUGUUGUGCUAUGUCAUAGAAAUAAGAUACAAAUUACCUCAAGAAAGUCAAGGUCAAGUGGGUAAGAUUAAGAGAAAUAUCAACAGUAAUACAUCUGACACAUGUAUUGCUAGGUGUUCAUCCAAGGAGAAAUCUCAUGAAGACAGUAAGGAAAGGCUAGAAAGAGGACAUGGCAUUUGAGCUGAGUUUUGAAGGAUGAGUAGGAACUCACCUACUGAAGGUAUGGAAAGGGAGCACAUUGCAGGAUGACAGAGCAGCAUGAACAAAGUUCCUGAACUACACACAGGUGAGAAUUUAAUGCAUCAAGGCCUUCAAAGAAACCACUUCCUAAAGAGUGAUGUAUUUCCCACUCCUUCAGACUCGUCUAUCAGCCAAGAACCCAUUCAUGUGUUAGUGUCAUUUGAAAGGAAAAGAUUACCCUAGGUGUAAUAGUUGAUGAUGACACCCAGGUGCCUUUAUGACAUUCAAUUUUCACCCACCUCCUUCAUUGUUACAGAAGCUGCCUCCCACCAGGAGGAGUGAAAACAUCUGACAGUUGCAUUGCAGCCUUCCUUUCGGCUUGGCCAUAGGCAUGUGAGCCAAUUCUGGCCAAUGAUUAUUAAGAUGACGUUUUCUAGAGUAGAAAUCCUUAGCAAAGAUUUCUUUUCUCCUGUUGAAAAGACAUGUACAACACAAAACUGCCCUUCUUUUCCCUGAAUAUAUUUAUGUGAAGACAUGAUAUAUGGAGAUACAACAGCCAUGUUGAAAACGUAACAGGACAAACCUGAAAGUGAAAGCCAACACACUGAGGAUGUCCCAUCAGAAAGAUGAUGGGAACACCUGGGUCCUGCAUGACAUCAUCUUAGCUCCAGAUGUCUCGUUAAGUAAACCUAUAAAUUUCCUUAUGAUUUGAGCUAUUUUAAUCAAGGUAUACUUUACUUAGGACCUAAAGCAUCCCAAUUGAUAUAAUUCUUGUCAGAGGGUGAAAAACUGCUUCCAUCAAGGCUAGUAAAGCUUGGGAAAAGAGUAAAUAAGAUUUCCAUGUGAUGUGACUAAAAAUGCUAUUGAAACGUAUUCCCCUACCACGUGGCAUUCCUUAUCUGAAAUUCCCAUGGGUAGAGGCUCAAUGAUAUUCAUUCCACAAAGAAACUUUGACCAUUAUGUGUAGGGUUGUCAGAUAAAUAUUUGGGACCUAUUUACACUAAAAAUUUUUCAUGUUUAUCUGAAAUUCAAAUUUAACUGGACGUCCUGGGUUAUCUGACAGGUCUGGCAACCUUAAGUAAGUGCCGUGUCCUAGGCUCUGGGGAUACAUCGCUAUUCUUUACUGCAAGGAACUCAUCUCCUUCAAAGCCUACAGGUGAUUCUAACGUGCAGACUGGUUACAGAUCCACCAUCUUGGAAACUCUCAUUCAACUCCACAUUCUGCAGUUCAGAAAACUGAAGCCAGAAGAGGUCGUGUGAUUUGCCUAAAGGCACGCAGCUGUUCAAAGGCAAAGGUGGCACUAGCUCCCACAUUCAGGAUUCUUUCCUAUGUACAUUUUUCUAGCUGCCUCAUCACUUCUGCUCCUAAAAGCUCUUUGUUUUAGGAUGAAAUGAGAAGCUACUUUUGUUUGACUUGGUAGAGAGAGGGUGGCUUAUAGUAUAAAUGGUCUGAGUUCCUUUAAUGAGAAAGAUGAUCACAUUUUAGUCACCUAAAUGUUUUAUGUCAGGAGAGUAUUUUGAGUAAGAAGGGAAGGACAAAAAUUACAGAGCAAGAAAGUCUUGUCGAAGUCCAUAGAAAUACUUUCUUGAAGAGAAAAUUUUCCAAAUACUAUUUUAGGUAGUUUAUAUAUAUAUUAUAUAUAGUUAUAUAUAUAAUCACAUGUACA